Molecule: transfer RNA, 55 nt
Filed under: Heterakis gallinarum
Lineage: Eukaryota; Metazoa; Nematoda; Chromadorea; Rhabditida; Heterakidae
Description: tRNA-Cys
Source: RNAcentral
GGAUUUUUAGUAUAUUUAAGUAUAUCUGAUUGCAGAUCGGAUGGUAGGGAAUCUU